Molecule: long non-coding RNA, 1086 nt
Organism: Sapajus apella (tufted capuchin)
Lineage: Eukaryota; Metazoa; Chordata; Mammalia; Primates; Cebidae
Exons: 2
Source: RefSeq, a predicted model, not a curated record
AAAAAUGCAUUGGUUUGUUUCUAUUUAAGAAAUUUUCAGGGAGUAAAUUAUAGGGCUUGGGGAUGAACCAGUUAAAGGGAUAGAGAUAUCAAAGAUGAAGCCUGGGUGCAUAGCAUGCCUUGCAGGAUAGAUAGUGGUACCAUUCACUGAGAGAUGAAACUCUAGAACAGGACCCAUUUUGGGGGGAAAUAUCACAAGUUCAGGUUUAGAAAAGUUGAUUUUGAGAUCACUUUGAGACACGUAUGUAUAGUUAUCAAAUGCAGGCCUGGAAGUGAGCUGAAGAUAAGCAACCACUGUGCUCCCGCUUAAUGAAAAGUUGACACUCAUCCCUCUGUUAGUGGAUGCUAGCUUGCCCCAGUCAGAGUCUCCUCUUACUUCACAUGCUUGAAAUGGGUACAUCCUACUUGAAAGCACCACUGAUUGGAAACUGAGCAAGGAGCCAACAGGAGUAUAAAUCCAAGAUCAAUGUUGAGCAUGUGUUGAAGGGAGAAAGAAAGUGAGUGGUUAGAAAUCAGAUUUGCCAGCAUGAGGGGUCACCACUUCCACCUGCCAUAAUUUGCAGAGAUGAGAAUUAAGGUCUCACACUAGUCACUCAUGUAAGACCUGAGCUAAUUGGAUAAUUUGAUAAUAGAACUGUCACUUGGAAUAGGACUUUAAAAGUUAUCUAGAUCAAUCCUUGCCUUUUUCAAUUGAAAUUGAGGUCCAGAGAGGAUAAAUGACUUAUCUAAAGUCACCAUGCACAUUGAUGACAGAGCAUGGCUGCCUUUGAUCUUUAUUUUACAGUCUUACUUGGUUCUGUCCAGUAUUUUGAAUGUGAGUGGAGUGACAUGCAGUAUUAUUUUACUGUCUGGCACUUUGUGUGUAGAUGUUGGUCAGAUAGCCCCAGGCCCCUUUAGUUAAAAGACACAGUGUUUUGUGGCUUUUUGCUAGCACAUAGUUAUAAAUCACCCUCAUGAAAUCCAGAAUAGCUUGGAUAAUGAUAUGAACCUUAACUACGAAUUUAGCAGUCUGUAACAGCAUCCAGCAGUUUUAGUUUAUCACUGUCCCAAGGGGAGAAAGGAGAAAAAAAAAACAGCAUAAGAAACA